AUUUAAAUAGUUUAACUAAAAAUAUUGAUUUGUGGUGUCAAUGAUAUGAUUUUUCAUUUUAGAUC
This 65-nucleotide transfer RNA is filed under the name Anopheles rivulorum. RNAcentral describes it as "tRNA-His". The record is from RNAcentral. Lineage: Eukaryota; Metazoa; Arthropoda; Insecta; Diptera; Culicidae.